Molecule: ribosomal RNA, 768 nt
Filed under: Staphylococcus aureus
Lineage: Bacteria; Bacillati; Bacillota; Bacilli; Caryophanales; Staphylococcaceae
Description: partial 23S ribosomal RNA
Rfam family: Bacterial large subunit ribosomal RNA
Source: RNAcentral
AAGCUUGCUUGUUGGGGUUGUAGGACACUCUAUACGGAGUUACAAAGGACGACAUUAGACGAAUCAUCUGGAAAGAUGAAUCAAAGAAGGUAAUAAUCCUGUAGUCGAAAAUGUUGUCUCUCUUGAGUGGAUCCUGAGUACGACGGAGCACGUGAAAUUCCGUCGGAAUCUGGGAGGACCAUCUCCUAAGGCUAAAUACUCUCUAGUGACCGAUAGUGAACCAGUACCGUGAGGGAAAGGUGAAAAGCACCCCGGAAGGGGAGUGAAAUAGAACCUGAAACCGUGUGCUUACAAGUAGUCAGAGCCCGUUAAUGGGUGAUGGCGUGCCUUUUGUAGAAUGAACCGGCGAGUUACGAUUUGAUGCAAGGUUAAGCAGUAAAUGUGGAGCCGUAGCGAAAGCGAGUCUGAAUAGGGCGUUUAGUAUUUGGUCGUAGACCCGAAACCAGGUGAUCUACCCUUGGUCAGGUUGAAGUUCAGGUAACACUGAAUGGAGGACCGAACCGACUUACGUUGAAAAGUGAGCGGAUGAACUGAGGGUAGCGGAGAAAUUCCAAUCGAACCUGGAGAUAGCUGGUUCUCUCCGAAAUAGCUUUAGGGCUAGCCUCAAGUGAUGAUUAUUGGAGGUAGAGCACUGUUUGGACGAGGGGCCCCUCUCGGGUUACCGAAUUCAGACAAACUCCGAAUGCCAAUUAAUUUAACUUGGGAGUCAGAACAUGGGUGAUAAGGUCCGUGUUCGAAAGGGAAACAGCCCAGACCACCAGCUAAGGU